UGGGCUGUGGCUCAGUGGUAGAGCGCUUGCCCAGCAUGUGUGAGGCACUGGGUUCAAUUCUCAGCACCACAU
RNAcentral lists this transfer RNA (72 nucleotides) under Ictidomys tridecemlineatus (thirteen-lined ground squirrel). RNAcentral describes it as "Spermophilus tridecemlineatus (thirteen-lined ground squirrel) tRNA". It matches the Rfam family "tRNA". From Rfam's summary of the family: Transfer RNA (tRNA) molecules are approximately 80 nucleotides in length. Their secondary structure includes four short double-helical elements and three loops (D, anti-codon, and T loops). The record is from Rfam by way of RNAcentral. Lineage: Eukaryota; Metazoa; Chordata; Mammalia; Rodentia; Sciuridae.